Molecule: ribosomal RNA, 3654 nt
Filed under: Triticum aestivum (bread wheat)
Lineage: Eukaryota; Viridiplantae; Streptophyta; Magnoliopsida; Poales; Poaceae
Description: partial small subunit ribosomal RNA
Source: RNAcentral
CGGCUUAGUUUCACUCGUCGUAUAGGUCAGAAGUGCCGACUUAGUCUCGCUCGUCGUAUAGGACAGAAGUGCCGGCUUAGUUUCGCUCGUCGUAUAGGACAGAAGUGCCGGCUUAGUUUCGCUCGUCGUAUAGAACAGAAGUGCCGGCUUAGUUUCACUCGUCGUAUAGGACAGAAGUGCCGGCUUAGUUUUACUCGUCGCCAGACUUUCCCUAUUACCAGACUUUCACUCAUCGAAGAGUUUAUCUUAAUAGCUGGUCUACUCCUCAUUCUGAAACUGUGGAAGUAGACCCCAAGUCCCAAGGGGGAAAUUCGGACAUAACUUCCCAUUUUCCCAAUGGAUGGUUCCAAGUGCGCUCCUCUAGGUUCAAGUUCGAUUACGUUCUGGGUCUCGGGGAUACCUAUUCUAGGGAUUCUAAGGAUCGAGUUGUGUGCUAAGACACCGGUCUAACCUACCAUGUGAAAAGUCGUCACCACCUUUACAAAGGCUUAGAGUCAUACUCCCUUGCUCGGACUCCCUUGAUUAAUUCGGGCGUGCGGUUCGCUACUCGUUCAAACUCUUUUACGUCAACAAGUUCGUCUAGGAACUAGUACAUCUGUUUAGGGUGCGUGUCCCACAUUGGAAUGUCGUCAACGCUGGCAGCAUAAAAUAUUAUAGUAGGGGUUUGGUUCAUUCCAUAUAGCCAAGAAUGUCGUUUGUUCUAAAUAGUUGGGGUCGGUUUGGCCUAUACCGGCGUCUACUACAAAAAUUGUCUUUUGCUACGAAGCUAGUCUUUUGAAACGUGGUUCUCACAUUACCGUUACCUGUAAGUUAGGACUUCAUAGUCUUCCAACCACUUGUUCCAAGACAACGGCAGUCCGCUGGCUAUGUAGGGAAGGCCUGACUGGUGUUUCCCCCGUUGGUUUCACUUCCACGACUAGAUCCACGAAAUCCUGUCCCUUUAAGAUCAACGUGGCAGCCUCCAGCAAGAUUCAAACCGCUUGGAAUGAUACCGCCAUUACGUAGAAUACCGGUUGCAAAAGGAUUAAUACCGUUGGUUCUUAGUCAUGAACUUAACUCCUACGAUCUUCUAUCGACCAUGUCUUCGGGCCUUCUCGAGUUAGUUAGCUUUCCGUGUAAGGGUAGGUUGUAGAUGUCGGAACCCCAAGAAAAUAAACUCGAGAAAACGACGACACUUUGUACCCUCGACGUAACACGACGUUACAGUCUAGAAGCGGUGGCCUAGGACGGAGGUUAAAAAGAAAGUCUUUCAGGGUUCCUCCGACCGAAGACGGAAACCGAUAACGUAGGCCUAGGAAAAAGAGCUGGUUUUCGUUCUCUGUAAGAUCCUACACUGAACUAUUUACUCCCAGUCCUAAACAGCCACAAUCUAUUCCGCGGUCGACGAUAGUUACUCCUCCUGUGUCUCAGACCAAACAAUGACUUAAAAGACAGAGUUGACUUUCUUCUUUUCCUCUACGUACGACGGUUCAAUAGUCGUCUAGAACGUUCGAACGUCUGACUAUAACAUCUCCGACUCUCUUCUGUGAGCAACUCCUACCCCAAGUCAAAUCCCCUGUACCUACAUGGUCGUUCAAGAUUACUACACGGUCCAUGAAGUAGUUUACGGGACUCUCCCCGUAGCAACAGUCCAAACGAUUGUGGUGGUCCGUCCAGUCCGUAUAUGCUCCUCUCCCACUACUUCUUAAACGUCGUCGAACUUUUACGUAUAAUGAGGUGCUCCAGGUGGUAACUUUGUAGACUCUGAUUACAUUAAUUCGCAAGGCUAUUACUACGAAAUUCCCAGGCACUUUUGAAAUUGGUGUCACUGCGGCUACGAUACUUACCCGGUUGUCUGGCGGAACCUACGAAAAAACUACCAGAUACGUUUAUACGGGCCGUAUCAUCCAAACUUCAUGCUCCCUAAAACUUCUUACGACUAUAUGAAUUGAGAGGUUUACACUAGACGAGAAACUCAAAACUGGCACUACUUCUUAUAAAACGACGACGACCCCAGAGUUUCUUUUAGUUUUAUAAGCUUAAACUACGAGAAAAUUUACUAGUACAACUAUAAGUAAUAGGAUAUCAUCUCUACGGAUCGUUCAGGUUCGAAUCAACACAGACAACCUUGUUGAUAUAUUUCUUGAUGAACCGUAGUUGUCUGAUACUACCGUGACAAGUCGAUACCCUACGUUCGUGACCGGUUCCCAAGUGUGUCAAAUGUCUCGUAGCCUUUUCUCGAACCAGACACUCAAAGAGUCUCCACCUAGGUUGAUCUAACCGUUCACCCUCACUGCUAACAACGCACUUUCAAACCUUAUAAUUGGUCUUUUUAUCGCACCUGUGUUAGUCUUUACACCGGUUGCAUACGACACAUGUCAAGAGCGGCAUGAGGAGAGCAUACAAUCGGAAACCGAGUCGACUAAUGUUCUGUAUGACAAUACUAGACUCCGUAUGUUCCUAGGGGACCACAUGGUAAAGACCUGUACCCUUUCGACAGUCGAUACAUUCUAAGAACCUACGUCUUUGCGAAUAUAGACGCAGUUGACUGUUAUGGAACUUCUAUACCCUAGAGUUGGCCUGAUUAGGAUUACCUAAUAGAUGAUUACGAACGUCAGACUGUAACUCACCAGUAUGGUUGCUCUUCUUAAAACAUCCGAAUAGGCAAGUGCUACCUAUGUAUUGCACGCCAAGACUUUUGUUACUUCAUAUAAGAAUGAUAUUUUCGAAAGGGUACGGUUAUUGAAGGGUAUUCAAACCAAGGUAACUGGGUUAUUGGCCUGUUCUCUGCUUACUACUAUUAGUCGUCAAACACAGCUCGCAAACGACCUCUCCUUCCAGUUUAUACCACCAUCGGCGGUUGAGAUCACCCUCGUAGUUUCAGGAACUCGAACAAACUUGUUAGACAACUCGUUCAAUGUCCUACUCUUAUAGAUUGACCGACACCAACGGUACAACGAAACCGCUGGCAUACAAAGUAGUUCGUAAGACGGAACGGUUGUUGCUUCACGGUUCUAUAUAGUUUCCGUCUCUGUAGUUUUCGGCACCUUUUUGUGUGAAGGCGUCAACUUCGUUGGAUGUUAAGACUGAUAACUACAAACGAGCUUUGGGGGAUACUUCACCCGCUGACCUCCCCCACUUUCCGGAGUCGAUGAGACUUUCUAUUUGAAACAUUCCGCGAAACUGUAUCAUCAGUCGUAGAGUUGCUCCCGGAUCCCGAUCCAAAGACAUGUCUAAAUCCCCGAAGUUUACGGCACAUAAAUGAAAACUCGAUCUCGGAAUGUACGAUACAAAUGGGCUAGACUAGGCGUAGAGUGCCCUUAGCUGCGUCAAAACUACACGUUACUGAUUGUCAGAUCAUACUACCAGCCUCGUUUUGACGUCUUCCACUGUAACAACAGACUUCCUCAAAUAGUACGUAGGACUACACACGCUCACUACGUUGCUCCCAAACACAUACGGUUAAAAAAAACAUCGGGGGAAUAAACUUAUCUCAUUAUAUAUAUAUACUAAUGACAUGUAUUGUUUUACGGACGGCUCAGGUCUUUAAGACACAGCUUGUCUUCUUUUUACUUACUAAACCUGAGCCGCUACGUUAUCAUAUACAUACUCACAACCGACGGUAACUAUCAAUACAUUAAGUGUAUAAAGACAGAACGCGCUGGUUGUUUUUGG